ACGUGCUUUUCGUGACGAUACAAGUGGUUUGAAACCACUCACGGCGGUUGAGCCUAAAGGCUUUUGUGCACAAUGUGAAUAUUAUAUGAGGAAAUCCAAUUUUUCAAUAAUAUGCAUUAUAUAAUAAAUUAAAAGACCAUCCAUUGUUACGGCGUGGGCGGUUUCCAUUAUCGUAAAAUUUACCGGUUGUAUAACCUUUUGUGACACAUUCCUUACGUACAUCCAGGCGAGAUACCGACCUUUUUCGGUCCACAUCAGCCACAGCUAUCGACCAUUGACGGUAAGUAAGUUAUAUACAGAAG
Molecule: long non-coding RNA, 302 nt
Organism: Photinus pyralis (common eastern firefly)
Lineage: Eukaryota; Metazoa; Arthropoda; Insecta; Coleoptera; Lampyridae
Exons: 4
Source: RefSeq, a predicted model, not a curated record